This 253-nucleotide ribosomal RNA is filed under the name uncultured bacterium. RNAcentral's name for it is "partial 16S ribosomal RNA". It matches the Rfam family "Bacterial small subunit ribosomal RNA", at positions 524 to 776 of the family's 1533-position model. The record is from RNAcentral.
UACAGAGGUGGCAAGCGUUGUUCGGAAUUACUGGGCGUAAAGGGCUCGUAGGCGGCCAACUAAGUCAGACGUGAAAUCCCUCGGCUUAACCGGGGAACUGCGUCUGAUACUGGAUGGCUUGAGGUUGGGAGAGGGAUGCGGAAUUCCAGGUGUAGCGGUGAAAUGCGUAGAUAUCUGGAGGAACACCGGUGGCGAAGGCGGCAUCCUGGACCAAUUCUGACGCUGAGGAGCGAAAGCCAGGGGAGCAAACGGG